RNAcentral lists this unclassified non-coding RNA (235 nucleotides) under Hevea brasiliensis (rubber tree). The record is from RNAcentral. Lineage: Eukaryota; Viridiplantae; Streptophyta; Magnoliopsida; Malpighiales; Euphorbiaceae.
AAAAAGAAAAAAAAGAAAGAAAAAUGGGAAGAUGGAAAGCCCUGGUUGCUUUAGAAAAGUUGUUGUACAAAGGUUCAAGCUUCCGUUUGAGAAAUUCUACGAAGUAUAACAGAAAAGAAAAAAGGAUAGGUGUUCAAACACGGUUAGUUUUUGCAUCCCAAGUAGCUGGAACAAAUUUCAAUCAUGCAGUAUUAGCAAGCACUAUGGCUGUGUGGCAUUUAUGCUUUUGAGUUGG